AUUGCCAGAAACGAAUCGGUUUUAAGACGACGUUCAUGUCUCUAACUUUUUCUCUCUUUAGGAAGCGAGCUUGAUAUGCGUGGCGAUCGUUUCUCGACUUUCGGAGAGUUUAGAUCGGUUUGCAAGAUCUGGAUGAACAAUUAUGGAACAAUAUAUCGAGACAGGAAAAAUCGCUUAAAACUUAGUUCGCUAGACUAUCCGCCUAGGUUUUACGUUCCCUAAAGUUCUAUGGCAGCCUCAAAGUAAUUUCCUACGAAAAUUCCAAGUCUGAUUUCAAAAAUUUCAAGCCG
Molecule: long non-coding RNA, 290 nt
Filed under: Brassica rapa (field mustard)
Lineage: Eukaryota; Viridiplantae; Streptophyta; Magnoliopsida; Brassicales; Brassicaceae
Description: long non-coding RNA (BRAP_LNC007558)
Source: RNAcentral